AGGGAGUUUGAUCCUGGCUCAGAACGAACGCUGGCGGCGUGCCUAACACAUGCAAGUCGCACGAGAAAGUGGACUUCGGUCCGCGAGUAGAGUGGCAGACGGGUGAGUAACACGUGGGUAACCUGCCCUCGAGUGGGGAAUAACUCAGGGAAACUUGGGCUAAUACCGCAUGACAUCGUGAGCUCCUUGGAGCAUGCGAUUAAAGGUGGGGAUCGUAAGACCUACCGCUUGAGGAGGGGCCUGCGUCUGAUUAGCUUGUUGGUGGGGUAACGGCCUACCAAGGCUACGAUCAGUAGCCGGCCUGAGAGGGUGAUCGGCCACACUGGAACUGAGACACGGUCCAGACUCCUACGGGAGGCAGCAGUGAGGAAUCUUGCGCAAUGGGGGAAACCCUGACGCAGCAACGCCGCGUGGGUGAUGAAGGCCUUCGGGUCGUAAAACCCUGUCGGGUGGGAAGAACGGGUAGCGGGCCAAUACCCCGUUAUCUUGACUGUACCACUNAGAGGAAGCCCCGGCUAACUCCGUGCCAGCAGCCGCGGUAAUACGGAGGGGGCCCAGCGUUU
RNAcentral lists this ribosomal RNA (563 nucleotides) under uncultured Acidobacterium sp. Its description in RNAcentral is "bacterial SSU rRNA". It matches the Rfam family "Bacterial small subunit ribosomal RNA", at positions 1 to 543 of the family's 1533-position model. Lineage: Bacteria; Pseudomonadati; Acidobacteriota; Terriglobia; Terriglobales; Acidobacteriaceae. The record is from RNAcentral.